GACGAACGCUGGCGGCGUGCUUAACACAUGCAAGUCGAACGAUGAACCCGGAGCUUGCUCCGGCGGAUUAGUGGCGAACGGGUGAGUAACACGUGAGUAACCUGCCCUUGACUCUGGGAUAACUGCGGGAAACUGUAGCUAAUACCGGAUACGACCCUCGGCGGCAUCGCCAGGGGGUGGAAAGAAUUUCGGUCAAGGAUGGACUCGCGGCCUAUCAGCUAGUUGGUGAGGUAACGGCUCACCAAGGCGACGACGGGUAGCCGGCCUGAGAGGGUGGCCGGCCACACUGGGACUGAGACACGGCCCAGACUCCAACGGGAGGCAGCAGUGGGGAAUAUUGCACAAUGGGCGCAAGCCUGAUGCAGCAACGCCGCGUGAGGGAUGACGGCCUUCGGGUUGUAAACCUCUUUUAGUAGGGAAGAAGCGAAAGUGACGGUACCUGCAGAAAAAGCACCGGCUAACUACGUGCCAGCCGCCGCCGUAA
Molecule: ribosomal RNA, 484 nt
Filed under: uncultured bacterium
Lineage: Bacteria
Description: partial 16S ribosomal RNA
Rfam family: Bacterial small subunit ribosomal RNA
Source: RNAcentral